UGAGGGACUAUUGAUGCUUUUGGUAUCAGCAGCCACAGAAUUCAUCAGACACAGCACAAAAGAGCAGGAGAAGAGAUAAUGGCAGAUGCCAGAAGGUUGUCCAGCUGGUUACUACCUCUCCUCUUCACCUGAUUAUACCUGAUUACUGCUGACUCGAUGGGCAGGGAGAGUCGCUGACUCCUGACAGAAAGACUCUGUCACCCCUUGCCAUUUAUUUUAGAUCCUGUGAAUCCUACUGUCAAUGUUGUGACACCUGCAAUGCCUGGGAUGAAGCUGCCCAUGUGGUGAGAUGCAGCCUGUGGAAGCCUCUUUUCAGUGGAGUGAGAGCCAAGCCCCCUUGGCUUUUCAUAGACAAUUGGUGAACGGGACAAGGAGACACUGUCCUUGGAUGUCUGAAAAAAAAAGAAAAAGGUUGCAAAACAUGUUGCCAAUAAGAAUGUUGUAGAUGAAAGGCAGGAUGAAGGAAAGUGGUCUUAAUUUAAAUUCUCUAUUUUACUAAACCUACUCUUUAACAAAUAUGUUUAUGUGAGGCAUCAGAAGCAAAUGUAUUUUGGCUUUUAAGAGAAUUAAAAUUGUUUCCCCUAUUUUUUUAUUUGUUUGCUUUGGUGGCUUUGUGACCAAAAAAAUUGUUUUAAUCCAAAUAGCCACAAUAAAUAAAUAAGCAAAUGAAUAAAAUUCCCAGGUCAUUUGAGAGAAAAGAUUAACUGAAAAGGUAAAGCAUCUCCCCCUUUUUAGUUUCAGUUAAUUAUAGUGUCAGGAUGACUUUUUAACUUACCUGGCAAUCUGGAACCUCAUAGAGUCACUUGCGUUUUCAAAAUUUCCAUGUGAAAACAUGAUUGUGCCAAGUACUCCCUAUUAACUUUUAGACAUCAUCUAUAAAAUCACUACAGGAAAAUAUGGAAAUAUCUGAGAGAUACACAGUGGAUCGCCUCAGAAUAAAUCGUUCCCCAAAUCAUUUUAUGACUGCCUGAGUCGGGACUCAUGGGUCAGAGUAGAGUCAUAGUUAAGGUUUGCAACUGGCUUAGUAGCAAGAGGGGAUAAACAAACUAUCCAGGCUGUUGAACUGUCCAGUUUCGCUACAACUGUAUUUACUUGUUGGGAUCAACUGUUUUCUUUCCUAUUAAGGUAUUAGUAGCCACUGAUAAUGGAAGCCAGGGCCCGCUAGAAAUAGACCAGAGGAAAUUUCCUGACUCACUUGCAUAACAACAGUUCAUCAGCACUGAAGAUAUAUGAAGUGUGACUGCAGAGUAAUGGGAGUGAUUAGGUUUCUCUGCACAACAAAACUCUUACAUACAAAUGAGCACUGUCCCCUUCAGGACAGUCCUCAGGGAACCCGUAUGCUUAUUCCGGUGUGUGAUUGGUCUGGAAGCAUUUUUGGAUGCCCUCUGGACAGAAAGUGCUUUUGGACACUGUUAGUGGUGACAAAGUGUGUCCUUUGAGGAUGGAUUAGAUUGUUGGAAAUGAUACAAUGUAUUCACAGUAUACAUCUGUUGUUUUUGUCUACCCAGAAGCCUCUGUCCAAACUUGUGGUUGGAGAGGCUGUAUUUCUUCUGUCGUUCAUUCUGUCUUUGAAGGCUCUCGAGGAGAAAAUAGCUUUUAAUAUCUCUUGGGAAAUGGCCACAUUUUCCCCUGGCAAUUGAACCCAUGGCUUUCUUGAAUGACUACUCCUCAACCAGGUCUAAGUUGUUUAGGUAGGCUGACUUGACCACCAGUUCCAGAGCACAGACAUGUGACGAGCCUGGCCAUAGUCAUUGAUUCAGGGAUGGACACAUGACUGAAACGGCAUGCUGGCAUUUAGUUCUGGUACUUGGAUUUUAACUGUUGGGAGGAGAAUUUCUCACUCUGCUAUGAUAUAAGCAUGAAGCUACUGGCUUCCACUUGCUGCUACAAAGAGCCUGCUUAAAAAUGGAGCCAACAUAAAAGGAAGCAGAUUUAAGACCUGAGCGAUGAGAGCGUGCACAUGUGUGUAUAUCCACAUAAUGAGACUAAGUCUUGAUUUCUGCACCUUGAUCCAGAUAUACCUGGAGCAGAAACUCUGCUGGGACUCUUUUGUAUCAUGAGCCAGUAACCUCCCUAUUUGCCUAGUAGGUUGAUUUGGGCUUCAAUCUUGCAACCAAGUGAGUCCUGACUAAACCAGCAGAAUGGAGCCAGGUAAGGUUCUUUCUCAAGAAGAGAAGAAGGAAGGUAUCAAGACGUUUAUGACAAAUUUCUACUCAACACUGAGCACCUGCUAAGUGCUGGGCCUAAUAGUCGAGAUGCUGCAAUGAACUAGUCCAUUCAGGAUGCUGAGGUGUUUCAGCCUAGAAGAGACUGCUUUUCUUCCUUUGCUCAUGCAGACUCAGGGGGCCAUUCUCAAGGAGGAGUUAGUGACAGGAAUGUCUUUGGCAAAGACAGCACUCUUGAGUGUGGUCAGAACAUGUUAUUUAUUUCCCAAGAUGAUUAGUUUUUGAAGAAGACAACAAAUAGUUGAGGCUAUGAAUUCUAUCUCUGUAAAAAUAGAGUUAUGUUUUCCUCCUGUAGUCAGAUCUCCUGUGGAACGUGAGUAAACAGGAAUUUCUAUGUAUGGAGCAAGGACAGUAUGGUUAGCACAUAAUACAUGUGUUUAUUUCAGAGCUGGGGAGGACUCCUGACCAGCGUGACACCUAACAUUGGAGUGAAGGGGCAGCAGAUGUGACUUGUUCCUCCUUGCCUUCCACCGUGAUUGUGAGACCUCUCCAGCCACGUGAAACGGAAUGGGAAAUACUCUUCUCCUACCACCAACUUGGCCACUCUCCAGUGACGAGGUUUCAGAAGCAGUGCAUUUUCAAGUUUCUGCCUCAGAAGAGAUCCAGUUUGGCAUUCUGUCUAAGUUCACUGCACAGAGACGGGUUUGGCUCUGUGAUUCAUCAGAAAUAAGAAAAACAAACACUGUAAAUGGAGAACUUGAAAAAGAGGUGGGCACCAUCUCCCCACCCAAGAGAAUGGAUUUAAGAGGAAAUUUGUUUAUGGGAUGAAGUUUUAAAAGGCGACCUGGAAAAUUUAGCAAAGAUGUAAAUAAACAACUCUUCCUUGGAUUGCAUUAGGCUUCAGAAUAAAUAUAUUAACCAGCUUCAGUCAAAGUCUGCCUAGAAUCUGACCCUGACAAGACCCAGUGACUAGUGCUGCUCCGAACCUUCCCCACCAACAGCAGGCAAUUUUCUCUGUGGCAAAGCUACCUCGAAACAGGCAUCCAGGCUUCCCUCCCACGAAGUGAAGAUGAGAAAACUGAGUCUCAGAAUGGACAAGCUCACAGAUGGCAAGUGGUAGAGCAGACUUCACACAUAGAAAUGGCCACCCACUUUGGAAUAAAGAGGACAUAUAAUUUGCCUAAGGUCACAUAGCACUCUCUAAAUCAGUACAGUAUUUUAGACAAAGCUUCAACUUUGCACUUUUAUGGGUCAUUUUGAUAUAAGACUACAAGGAUAUCUCCUCCCAUGACAAACUUGACUUCAUUUACAACAAAAGGCCAAGCAAGAUACAGUACACUGUGGGGAUAAAUGGUACUCACUGAGGACAGGAAUAUGCUGACAUUAUCUCAAUUUCCUCCUCCCUCCUGUUGUUCUCCUUUGGAUGCUUUCCUGGACUAUAGGGAGAAGGAAAAUAGAGAAAGGCCAACUGCGACUAGGCCAGAGAUCAGAUGUUACCUUGUAGGAAGCAUCUCAUUCUAACCUUAAGUACUCUCUUGAUGAAGUACGGGGCCAAGAGAUUUUGGAAUUCUACCACACAAGGUUGCUCAGCAUUCCAAGAAGUAUUGAUAACUCUUCAAGAGCAAAAGUCAUUUAAAUUAAACUUCUCUGGCCGGGCAUGGUAGCUCAUAUCUGUAAACCCAGCACUUUGGGA
This 3858-nucleotide long non-coding RNA is filed under the name Homo sapiens (human). RNAcentral describes it as "HSALNT0328463". The record is from RNAcentral. Lineage: Eukaryota; Metazoa; Chordata; Mammalia; Primates; Hominidae.